ACAGCUGUGAAAGGUCAGCCCACCUGUAGGAAGGGGUCGCUGAUUCCAGAUAUACUGUGUUCUGUGGAGUAUCCUGUUGUCACCAGGGUCCGGAGGAUCUGCACCAGCUGGGGCCCAGGUCUGUCCCUUUGCCAGCCCACCUUUUGAAAGUGCCUGAGGGCUGCAGGGCUUCGUUCGCAGAGCUCGGUGAUCAGCGUGAUGGUACCCAGCAGGAUGCCUGGGGUCAGGGCAUGGGAAGUGAAUGCUCUUAUUGCCUGGGGCGGUGAGACAGGAGGGUAGGCCUGGGGUUCCCCAAGAGGCCUCCUCGUACAUUCUCACCACCCGGAGAGCCUCGGAGAGCUUGGAUUUGAAGCCAUCGCACCCCAAAGGAGAUGACAAUCCCCCCCCUUUUUUGAACUUUUUUAUUAAUAUAUUUUUUUGUUAAAUUUCUUUGUAUUUUUUUUUUCCUGCAAGACUUGGUGUUGGCGGCACUGUUGUAGUUUAACUUCAAUCCCAAAUUCCAUGAAAUAGAAAUCAGAAGAAAAGGUUGAGAGGGAGGAAGGAGGGAGGCAGGCCAAGGAGUAAACAGAGUUUGACUAGAAAAAAAGAAGAGGGUAUGUGUUGGGCAUUCCUGGGCAAGGCCAUUCCUUGAGGGAGGGGGUUGGCAGGCAGCUUGCCUCUGCCUCAUGCAGGGGAGGGAGGAAAGAUCCCCUGGGGACCCUACAGUCCCCUCUUCCUAGGGCUUCCUGCUCCCAGGGAAAAAGCUAGUACCAGGGAUCAGCCACAACAACCUCAAACAGGGCUCUCCAUCCACCUCUCACCCGGGUUUGACUCCCACCUCUGCUCUGCCUGGAAAGUGUGUGAGAGAUCUGCUUCCUCGGAUCCCCUCCUUCUGUUGUUUUCCCAUUUCACAAGAUUCUGAUGUGAUGGGGGAAGAGACAUAACCCAUUUUGAGACUACUAAACUUGUCACAGCUUCUACUUCCUGGUGAGCUCCUGUUAUCUUGUCCAGUUCUACCCCCAAGAAGUGCCUCCCCCACCCCAACUGCCAGAGUUGGGGUGUGGGGGCCUUGCUCAAGUGCCUCUAACCCUCUGCAGUAGAAAUGUCUUCUUCAGGCCCCUUAGGAAUUUAAUCAAAGGCCACAAGUGAGUCCAGACCAACCAAAUAAACU
This is a long non-coding RNA of Carlito syrichta (Philippine tarsier), 1150 nucleotides long. RefSeq lists it as uncharacterized. NCBI's taxonomy places the organism in Eukaryota, Metazoa, Chordata, Mammalia, Primates, Tarsiidae. The transcript is spliced from 3 exons. The record is from RefSeq and is a predicted model, not a curated record.